Molecule: ribosomal RNA, 400 nt
Filed under: uncultured bacterium
Lineage: Bacteria
Description: partial 16S ribosomal RNA
Rfam family: Bacterial small subunit ribosomal RNA
Source: RNAcentral
CCUACGGGUGGCAGAAGUCGGGAAUAUUGCGCAAUGGAGGAAACUCUGACGCAGGGACGCCGCGUAGAGGAAGAAGGUUGUCGGAUUGUAAACGAUUGUCGGUAGGGAAGAGAAAAGACGGUAGCUAAGGAGGAAGCCCCGGCUAACUAUGUGCCAGCAGCCGCGGUAAUACAGAGGGGGCAAGCGUUAUCCGGAAUUAUGGGGGGUAAAGGGUGCGUAGAGGGAAGAACAAGUUGGUUGUGCAAUCCCUCGGCUCAACUGAGGAACUGCAACCCAAACUUUUCUCCUUGAGUGUCGGAGAGGACAGUGGAAUUCCUAGUGUAGCGGUGAAAUGCGUAGAUCUUAGGCGGAACCCCAGUGGCGAAGGCGACUUUCUGGACGUUAACUGACGUUGAGGCAC